Molecule: long non-coding RNA, 704 nt
Organism: Octopus bimaculoides (California two-spot octopus)
Lineage: Eukaryota; Metazoa; Mollusca; Cephalopoda; Octopoda; Octopodidae
Source: RefSeq, a predicted model, not a curated record
CGCGCGCACACACACACACACACACACACACACACACAAACACACACACACACACACACACUCACUCACUCACUCUCUCACUCGAAGAAAUAUUUAUAUCGUGUUGCACAGGCGUGAAUAACGUAUUACAACGCCCUGUGGUUAUUCAUUGACUAGAGCAUAUACAGAAUUUAACUUAACACGCCAUCGUAUUAACCUCAGUACUUAAAUGAGGUGGAAUAAAUAUCUCACAAGCCAACGAAGUUGCGCAAUCCGCUAGAAAAACUUCCAAAUCUCUUUCAUACCACAUUUGACUGCCUGAAGCAACGAAAAGGUAUACACUGGCUAUACUCCUAGAUUUAUUCUCUAUGAAUUCUAUAUGUAUAGAUAACCAGAGAAAGUGUGAAAGUGAAAACAUGCAAUAGCCGUGGCAGGAAUGCUUCUAGUUAUAGAUCUGCUCGACGAGGAACUAAACUACAGAAACAGUUACGCAAUAUAUGUAGAUAUGUAAUAAAACAAAACCUGUCGAAAUUCUAGGCCAUCCCAUCACAAGCGUCCAUGACUUAAUAUUCAUUUUUUUUUUCAGAAUCGGAUUCUCCAUAGCCGAAAACCGUGGGAUUCCGUAAAAAAAAAAAGAUCAACAUAUAUCAACGACUAUUGAAAAGGUUGCAAGACGCAACGAAAAUUUUAGAAAAAUAAAAAAUAAAUAAGUGGAUAUUUUACCG